GUUCCCUAAUGGGGCGUCAGGAAAGCGGACGUGACGAAACAGGAAAUAGUGAGGAAUAAUUACAUACUUUCAGCGAGUGGAUGAGACGGUCGAUGCGGCGAGUGAAGAGCAUUCAUUUUUUUAGCAUUUAUUUGAUCGUUCUGAGAAAAAGUGUCCGGUAACAUACACACACACAUGUAUUGCCCGUCUUGUGGCGUUUGCUUUAUUCGCCUUAUUCACCCGGAACGUUCUAAAGACGUUGAGGGGUACACUUCAGGGGUACAUUCGGCAACGCACCAGCUGUCAUAGCGCCUCACUGUUGUGUGCCCAAAUGUUCGUCCUCAAAGAGAAAAAAAUCCUACCGUGGACAGACUUUCCACCGUUUCCCCAAAGAGCAGGCACUUCGCCGUGAAUGUAUAAAUCAAAUCAAGAGGGAUCCUGGUCCAUAUUUCAAGAUCAACGCUGAGACCAAAGUUUGCUCUGAGCACUUUGAGAAGCAGUGUUUUGUAAAGACCGCCCGUGGUAUCACAAAGCUUAUAAAGGAUGCUGUGCCUUCUGAGCUCUAGGAAGAGCAUUACUCAGCUGGAGCUUUCCCAUGGCCAAGAGAUGAACGCUAAACUUGAUAGUUUUUUUUCUCCUCCUUCCUGCCUGCACUGUACAAAAAGUCAG
Engraulis encrasicolus (European anchovy) is the source of this 648-nucleotide long non-coding RNA. RefSeq lists it as uncharacterized. The transcript is spliced from 3 exons. Lineage: Eukaryota; Metazoa; Chordata; Actinopteri; Clupeiformes; Engraulidae. The record is from RefSeq and is a predicted model, not a curated record.